CGGCGUAAAGCGUGGUUAAGAAAAUAAGAUAAUAGGGCCGAAUGGCCUCAAAGCAGUUAUACGCACUCGAAGUCUCGAAGCACAAUCACGAAAGUAGCCCUAACCUGCCUCUGAUUCCACGAAAGCCAUAAAACAAACUGGGAUUAGAUACCCCACUAUGUAUGGCCGUUAACAUUGAUGGUUUUAUACUAAGCCAUCCGCCUGGGGAUUACGAGCAGUAGCUUAAAACCCAAAGGACUUGGCGGUGCUUUAGACCCCCCUAGAGGAGCCUGUUCUAGAACUGAUAACCCCCGUUCAACCUCACCAUCCCUUGUUUAAUCCGCCUAUAUACCGCCGUCGUCAGCUUACCCUGUGAAGGUAAAAUAGUAAGCAUAAAUGGCAAAGCCAAAAACGUCAGGUCGAGGUGUAGUGAAUGAGAUGGGAAGAAAUGGGCUACAUUCUCUACCACAGAGAAUACGAAUGGUAGUUUGAAAAAAAUUACCUGAAGGAGGAUUUAGUAGUAAGUAAGGAGUAGCGAGCCCUGCUGAAGAUGGCCCUAAAGCGCGCACACACCGCCCGUCACUCUCUCCAAAUAAAACCUAAGAGUUACCUAAAACAUUUUAUUAAUUCAAGGAGAGGCAAGUCGUAACAUGGUAAGCGUACCGGAA
Molecule: ribosomal RNA, 647 nt
Filed under: Antimora rostrata (blue antimora)
Lineage: Eukaryota; Metazoa; Chordata; Actinopteri; Gadiformes; Moridae
Description: partial 12S ribosomal RNA
Rfam family: Bacterial small subunit ribosomal RNA
Source: RNAcentral